RNAcentral lists this ribosomal RNA (309 nucleotides) under uncultured Glomeromycotina. Its description in RNAcentral is "partial large subunit ribosomal RNA". Lineage: Eukaryota; Fungi; Glomeromycota. The record is from RNAcentral.
UUGAAAGGGAAACGAUUGAAGUAGUGUGGUGGGGAAAAAAAUUUAUGGGAGNNAUGUUGUGGGAGNUAAAAAGGAAGAUGUGUUAGAUGAGGGGGAGGAUUUGUGUCGUGGUUAAAUAAUUUGAAGUAUAAAAAGGUGGAGGGAUGUGGUUUUGGGAGUGUUAUAANUUUAGGGAAUGUGGUGUUGGGAUUGAGGAUUGAAGAAUAUUUUAGGGUGUUNANUGGUUUUUUGGUANNUGGUGAGAAGUUGUGAGUNGUUAGGAUUGUUUUGAAAGGUAGAGUGUGAGAAAUCGUUAAGGAUGUUGACGUA